Small nucleolar RNA from Leptidea sinapis, 204 nucleotides. RefSeq annotates it as small nucleolar RNA U3. Lineage: Eukaryota; Metazoa; Arthropoda; Insecta; Lepidoptera; Pieridae. The record is from RefSeq and is a predicted model, not a curated record. The transcript has a single exon.
AAGACCUUACUUCAUAGGAUCAUUUCUAUAGUAAGCUCUUCACGAGAACCUUCACACUAUGUGAGGAGUAGACGGUCACGAUGAGGAAGUGUGGCGCGGCACCUUGAGCGUGAGGCAGGCAAGUUCCUAAGGAUCUUAGCCCUCGUGGAUCGUUCACCUCUCUACUUGUAGAGGGGCGUGGGGUGUUGUCGCUGUCUGAGUGGC